GCCGGGGUGGCGUAACGGCAGCCGCGCGGGUCUUAGAAGCCCGUGCCGAAAGGCGUGCGGGUUCGAGUCCCGCCCCCGGCA
This 81-nucleotide transfer RNA is filed under the name Acidobacteriota bacterium. RNAcentral's name for it is "tRNA-Leu". It matches the Rfam family "tRNA". From Rfam's summary of the family: Transfer RNA (tRNA) molecules are approximately 80 nucleotides in length. Their secondary structure includes four short double-helical elements and three loops (D, anti-codon, and T loops). Lineage: Bacteria; Pseudomonadati; Acidobacteriota. The record is from RNAcentral. RNAcentral also lists the same sequence under 2 other names.